This 875-nucleotide ribosomal RNA is filed under the name uncultured archaeon. Its description in RNAcentral is "bacterial SSU rRNA". It matches the Rfam family "Bacterial small subunit ribosomal RNA", at positions 520 to 1411 of the family's 1533-position model. The record is from RNAcentral.
GUAAUACGGGGGGAGCAGCGUUGUUCGGAUUUACUGGGCGUAAAGGCGCGUAGGCGGCCACCGCAAGUCGACUGUGAAAUCUCCGGGCUUAACCCGGAAAGGUCAGCCGAUCUGCGGGGCUAGAGUGCAGAAGGGGCAACUGGAAUUCUCGGUGUAGCGGUGAAAUGCGCAGAUAUCGAGAGGAACACCAGUGGCGAAAGCGGCCACCUGGCCUGUACCUGACGCUCAAAUACGAAGCUAGGGGAGCGAACGGGAUUAGAAACCCCGGUAGUCCUAGCCAUAAACGAUGUUGACUAGGUGUCAGCGGUCUCAACCCCGUUGGUGCCGGAGCAAACGCACUAAGUCAACCGCCUGGGGACUACGGCCGCAAGGUUAAAACUCAAAGGAAUUGACGGGGACCCGCACAAGCAGCGGAGCGUGUGGUUUAAUUCGAGGCUACGCGAAGAACCUUACCAGGGAUUGACAUGCACGUAGUAGUGAAGCGAAAGCGGAACGACCCUUCGGGGAGCGUGCACAGGUGAUGCAUGGCUGUCGUCAGCUCGUGCCGUGAGGUGUUUGGUUAAGUCCACUAACGAGCGCAACCCCUAGCGCCAGUUACACGUGUCUGGCGCGACUGCCGGUAUUAAGCCGGAGGAAGGUGGGGAUGACGUCAAGUCAGCAUGUCCUUUAUACCCUGGGCUACACACACGCUACAAUGGCCGGUACAAUGGGUUGCCAAGCCGCGAGGCGGAGCCAAUCCUCAAAAGCCGGUCUCAGUUCGGAUUGCAGGCUGCAACCCGCCUGCAUGAAGUCGGAGUUGCUAGUAACCGCAGGACAGCGAUAUGCGGUGAAUACGUUCCCGGGUCUUGUACACACCGCCCGUCAGUCAUGGGAGC